UAACUUAGUGGCGGACGGGUGAGUAACGCGUGGGUAACCUGCCAUAUACAGGGGGAUAACACUUAGAAAUAGGUGCUAAAACCGCAUAAGCGCACAGCUUCGCAUGAAGCAGUGUGAAAAACUCCGGUGGUAUAUGAUGGACCCGCGUCUGAUUAGCCAGUUGGCAGGGUAACGGCCUACCAAAGCGACGAUCAGUAGCCGGCCUGAGAGGGUGAACGGCCACAUUGGGACUGAGACACGGCCCAAACUCCUACGGGAGGCAGCAGUGGGGAAUAUUGCACAAUGGGGGAAACCCUGAUGCAGCGACGCCGCGUGAGUGAAGAAGUAUUUCGGUAUGUAAAGCUCUAUCAGCAGGGAAGAAAAUGGCGGUACCUGAGUAAGAAGCCCCGGCUAACUACGUGCCAGCAGCCGCGGUAAUACGUAGGUGGCAAGCGUUAUCCGGAUUUAUUGGGCGUAAAGGGAACGCAGGCGGUCUUUUAAGUCUGAUGUGAAAGCCUUCGGCUUAACCGGAGUAGUGCAUUGGAAACUGGGAGACUUGAGUGCAGAAGAGGAGAGUGGAACUCCAUGUGUAGCGGUGAAAUGCGUAGAUAUAUGGAAGAACACCAGUGGCGAAAGCGGCUCUCUGGUCUGUAAUUGACGCUGAGGUUCGAAAGCGUGGGUAGCAAACAGGAUUAGAUACCCUGGUAGUCCACGCCGUAAACGAUGAAUGCUAAGUGUUGGAGGGUUUCCGCCCUCCAGUGCUGCAGCUAACGCAAUAAGCAUUCCGCCUGGGGAGUACGACCGCAAGGUUGAAACUCAAAGGAAUUGACGGGGGCCCGCACAAGCGGUGGAGCAUGUGGUUUAAUUCGAAGCAACGCGAAGAACCUUACCAGGUCUUGACAUCUUCUGACAAUCCUAGAGAUAGGACUUUCCCUUCGGGGACAGAAUGACAGGUGGUGCAUGGUUGUCGUCAGCUCGUGUCGUGAGAUGUUGGGUUAAGUCCCGCAACGAGCGCAACCCUUAUUGUUAGUUGCCAGCAUUAAGUUGGGCACUCUAGCAAGACUGCCGGUGACAAACCGGAGGAAGGUGGGGAUGACGUCAAAUCAUCAUGCCCCUUAUGACCUGGGCUACACACGUGCUACAAUGGACGGUACAACGAGUCGCAAGACCGCGAGGUUUAGCAAAUCUCUUAAAGCCGUUCUCAGUUCGGAUUGUAGGCUGCAACUCGCCUACAUGAAGUCGGAAUCGCUAGUAAUCGCGGAUCAGCAUGCCGCGGUGAA
Molecule: ribosomal RNA, 1259 nt
Filed under: uncultured bacterium
Lineage: Bacteria
Description: partial 16S ribosomal RNA
Rfam family: Bacterial small subunit ribosomal RNA
Source: RNAcentral